This 158-nucleotide ribosomal RNA is filed under the name Trichomonas sp. RWG-2007-2. RNAcentral's name for it is "5.8S ribosomal RNA". It matches the Rfam family "5.8S ribosomal RNA". Rfam says of the family: 5.8S ribosomal RNA (5.8S rRNA) is a component of the large subunit of the eukaryotic ribosome. It is transcribed by RNA polymerase I as part of the 45S precursor that also contains 18S and 28S rRNA. Functionally, it is thought that 5.8S rRNA may be involved in ribosome translocation. The record is from RNAcentral. Lineage: Eukaryota; Parabasalia; Trichomonadida; Trichomonadidae.
AGUCUCUAAGCAAUGGAUGUCUUGGCUCCUCACACGAUGAAGAACGUGGCAUAAUGUGUUAAGUAACCGGAGUUGCAAACAUCAUGACAGGUUAAUCUUUGAAUGCAAAUUGCGCUAAACUCGAUCUCGGUCGAGAAGCAUGGGUGUGACAGUACUAC